Molecule: long non-coding RNA, 2554 nt
Filed under: Malus domestica (apple)
Lineage: Eukaryota; Viridiplantae; Streptophyta; Magnoliopsida; Rosales; Rosaceae
Description: long non-coding RNA (MDOM_LNC017820)
Source: RNAcentral
CCUAAUAUUUACCAUACAAGAAAGGUGAAAUUUUCCAUAUGGGGUUAAUUACUAAUCAUAAUUAGGGUAAGUAAUAAUAUUUAUUGACAUAAUUAGGGUUUUGUGGCAUAAGUUGUAAAUAUGUGAUAAUAAUUGGUUACAUAUUUGUCUACAUGGUAUUCUAUUUGAAAUUUGGGUUUUAUUUGGAUAUUUAAUAUUAGGUGGGUUUUUGUUUGGAAAAUAAGAGUUUCAAGGGCCAUUUUCUAAAGAACCCUUUAUUUUAUGGUUAGUUUUCAUUUUAAAAUAUCAGAAAAAAUAUAAACAGAAAUGUAUGGUCGAUAAACGAAAGAUAAUGUAUAAAAUAAGAACGUCGAAAGAAAAGUAGUUUGUUUAGAUCUUAAUUUAUCGUUUUAGUAAUGUAUAAUAUUUUACCCUACUCUCUCAUUCCAAUCCUUCCUUCUUUUCUCUUUUCUUAUUUUUACUAUACAUUUUGCUUUAAUCUUUAACUAAAGCAAUAAAAAAAUAAGAUAAGAUAUUAGUUUCUUAAGAGAAAUGGUGACUUGUGAGCCUUAACCUCUUCAAUAUUCUAGAAAGUGGACUUUAUUAUUGAUUUUAAAAGUUUAUAAGUGGACACAAUUGAUGAUAGCGACUUUGAGAGUCUCCUUCAUUAUAUUUAAGAUUUUAUUUUGGCUACAUAGCAUGACUUAGCCAAUUGAUGGUUCCUCAAAGUCUCCCUCAAUAUAAUUUAGAUUCGUAUAAAUAGAAUAAUACUAUUUAGUCUAAAAACUUAUUUGAAAGUGUUGAAAAUACUUUUGGUGAAAGUGUUUUAAAACUAAUCAUUACUAAAAAUGCAAGCAAAUUGUAAAAAAAGCACUUGAAGUGCUUUUAAAACUAAAAUAUAAUUUUACCAAAACAGUUUUCAGCCAUUUUAAAAGUAUUUCCAAACAAAGUCUAAAACAAUUAUAAUUAUAAGUUCUUAUUCAAUAAAUCUUGAGAUUCCUCCCAUAUUUGCUGGUGGGUUUCAAAAUUUAUACUGCUUGAUUUCAAGGCUCAGACUAACGAUGAUUGUUAAUCAACCACUUGAUGUCCGAACUUGCAUAAUUUCACGUGUUGAAAACUUGAAAAAUAAGUUAUAAUAUUUAUCAUUAAUGAUAUCGAGACUUCUAUGAUAAAACUCGCACGCAUAACGUGAAGUGUAUGUAAUAAUAUGCAAUUUGAAGGACAAUAUCAUAGCGGUUAUUAAGGGCAUGCUAGCCUAUCUCUAUGAAAUCUUGACAACAUGUGUGGAGUUUAUUUAGGUUCCACCAAAAAUAUCAGCAUAAUCCGACAAGUAGGCCGAAAUAUCGACAUAUUAUUACAAAAUUCUUACAGUUCCACUAUUUCGACAACUCCUAAAGUAUUGUCAACAAUCUAGGAAGUGGUGGAUUACCCUAAUGAUUAGAGCCUUCAUCUUCAACUCCCUAUGUCCCGAGUUCAAACUUUUCCUCAUUCCAAGAGUGAGAGUUAAGUAUGUUAAGAUGAACCCUUCUAAUGAAAAUUUGAAAUUACCCCUUAAAACCGUUGUCCUAAUAUAAUCAGGCGUAAAUUAAUCCAUGUUUCAUGUGCAUUUAACAUUGUUUACGAUUUUUCAUUUACACUAAAUCCGAUAUUUAGCUGCAUUGAAUCAUUUUUGAAUUUCUAUGUGGUUAAUGUAACAAUUAAACUUUAAUUGCUUGUAACAAAAAUAUACCUAUUAACCUUAGUUUUUUUUUCAACAAUUAAGGAUACAAAUCAUGCUACUUAGGUAAACACUAUUAAAAUUUCUUAUUUAGUUUUUUUGCACUUAAAGAAAAUAUUUUUUUAUCAUUUGCAAGAAGUUUAAUCAAGAGUGGCAAUAAGCUAACUGGAUAAAGCUACCCUUUACAUGUAGGAAAGCAAGCAUCUCCAGUCUUGGUCUAAAAGGCUCCUUUUUUAUGGCGUAGGAGGAAGUCCACUCCUCAAUGCAAUAAUUUCCCGGACAACUGGGCAAUAGGCAAUUAUUGUUUUAGUAAAUAAUAACAAUUCGAGUGUAUUUUUAUAUAGUAAUUGAAUUGCUUGGGCAAUUGUUAUUAUUAUUAUUUUUAAAUUAAUAAAAGGAUGAUAUUAAGUUUAAUUUCAGAUAAGAUUUUCAACUGAUCUCGUCACGUCACGUGUUAUCAUUUGAAAUUAUAAUUUUUGUGGAUAGAUUUUAGAUAAGAUUUUUAACUAAUAUGUAGCGUCACGUGUUAUGAUCCGGUAUGAAUUUUGAAAAUAUUGAGAUGUAGUGUAGGAUGGAAGAGGAUGGUUGGGUAAUUCUAGGAAAUUGUUUUUUUUUUUCUUUUCAUUUUUGUGUAUUUUUAAUUUUUUAAAAUUUUAUCUAACUGAAUUAAUAUGGACCGUUAGAUUAAUACCUUUUUGCAAUUUAACAACCCAGAUUGUGGACCCCAACGACUAUAUCCCACAUUUUCAUUUUUUUUUUAAUUCUUAACCCUAAAAAUGUCACAUAUUUUUUAUUUAAAUCUACACUUAAAUGAUGGGAAACCCUAAAAAUAUCUGCUUGAUUUGGACUGAGUGUGCU